Molecule: ribosomal RNA, 301 nt
Filed under: uncultured bacterium
Lineage: Bacteria
Description: partial 16S ribosomal RNA
Rfam family: Bacterial small subunit ribosomal RNA
Source: RNAcentral
CAGCAGCCACGGUAAUACGAAGGGUGCAAGCGUUAAUCGGAAUUACUGGGCGUAAAGCGUGCGUAGGCGGUUUCUUAAGUCUGCUGUGAAAUCCCCGGGCUCAACCUGGGAAUGGCAGUGGAUACUGGGAAGCUAGAGUGUGUCAGAGGAUGGUGGAAUUCCCGGUGUAGCGGUGAAAUGCGUAGAGAUCGGGAGGAACAUCAGUGGCGAAGGCGGCCAUCUGGGACAACACUGACGCUGAGGCACGAAAGCGUGGGGAGCAAACAGGAUUAGAUACCCGCGUAGUCCCUGUCUCUUAUAC